GCCUUCUCCACGACACGAUGCUUGUUUAUGAUUGUUGAUGAUGAAGAAUGCCCUUAUGCUAUUUAUGAAUUUGGAAAUAUUUAAUGAGCAAAUGAUAUGAAAGAAACUCAUGCCUCUUAUGCGAUGUUGUGUUUUGUUGUUGAUGUUAUGUUAUAUGCUUGGCAACUGCCCACUAAGUACUUUUGUACUUAGCCCUUCGAUGUUUAUGAUUGUGCAGGUUGAGCUGUGAUGGGCGAUGAAGUGUUGCUGAGUGGAGUUUUUGUCGAACUUAAAGUAGGCUCAGAAAGGAUACAUGUCUUCAUACAUGUAUCUCAGUUAUGCAUUCCGCUGUAAACCCUGAUUAUUUCAGUUACGCCUUCCGUUGCAAACUCUGAUAAUGUUUUAGCCAAGCCCCUAACGAUGCCUUUUUCCUUUUAAGGAAUAUAACGCG
RNAcentral lists this long non-coding RNA (430 nucleotides) under Salvia miltiorrhiza (redroot sage). Its description in RNAcentral is "long non-coding RNA (SMIL_LNC013228)". Lineage: Eukaryota; Viridiplantae; Streptophyta; Magnoliopsida; Lamiales; Lamiaceae. The record is from RNAcentral.